Molecule: long non-coding RNA, 5320 nt
Organism: Lepisosteus oculatus (spotted gar)
Lineage: Eukaryota; Metazoa; Chordata; Actinopteri; Semionotiformes; Lepisosteidae
Source: RefSeq, a predicted model, not a curated record
UUUCCACUCUCCUGCUCCCCACGGUUAGUCCCUUUGGACGUCCGUGACAAUAUGUACUGUAUGUUGGCAGCACAGUAGAGAAUUUGGUAGUAAAUUAAAUUAAUAUUCAUCCACUGUUCAUUUUUUUCUUUCCCUGUUUAAGGUACCCGAGGAUCCUGGUGUUUGUGAUCCAAGCCAAUGUGUGGCUCCCUAACUUGCUUCACUUUCAGCUUGAUGGCAUCAACAGUUCUGAUACAGUAGGGACCUACCUCAGCACCCCCCUGUACCUGAGUCACCUCUUUACUAUUUUUAGAGUUACACCCUGGACAUUCAAUAGUUCCCUGUCCCUGGCAUCCAACAGCCCCCUUGUGAAAUUCUCUCCACAACCUAGUAGAAACAGAUCAAGCUAAGGUUUCAAGGUCGAGGUUAGACAUGGCUGCCAGUAGUUUCACACUCACAGCCCUGUAGAGGAAUUCAAAGGGGCAGGCACUGCAGGAGACCCUCUUAUGGCUACAAUCAGCUUAGUCAGCAGGAUAGCUAACCAGAAAGAGCUUUUCCUCCAGCCAUCCUCGACUGCAAGACACACUGAAUCACAGACUGCAUUGGGCAUUAUCUCUACAGCGCUGACGUUUCAUAUAAGAUAAGUCACCAACAAAUCAUGUAUCAGCUAGGUUUUUGUUCAAGGGCUAGGCCUGGCCAUCCAGCUUCCACCCCCUGUGACACAAUCCCUGAGGAAGCCCAGAGGGCAAUGAGGCAGAGGAGUGGACAAACUGUAGGUUAAGGGUCAGGUCAAUGGGAGAAACACUGAAAUCAGGAGUGCAAAAUCCUAUAAAGUGAAAGGAGACCUGAUAGACUCCAGGCAUACAAAGGUUAAGAGAGCCAUUUAUCAGCACCAGCAGGAGGGAGAAGAGUUAUCUUCAUUUGACAUGGCACAUCAACUGGUACUUUCAUGCAAAGGAAUUGGAGGCACUCCAAAAUGGAGUAAUUUCCCAGAACUCUUCCUUGUGUCCACACGGAGAGAACAUCCACCAGUAAGGCAGGAAUGCUGAGUGGUUCUGCCUUUAGAACCACUAGUUUAUCGCCAGGUACAGAGUAGGAGAUCAAGGCCCUCAGGACAGAAACUCCUGGUCUUUUUCAUGUUAGUAACCUAGCAACCAGUUUUGGGGAGGACUACACUCAAGUGGCCCAUCAUGUGAACUGCUAGUUCAAAGACCGUGGAGCCUGGGAGAUAGAAAUAGAGGACCAGGGGGCAGAAUUUGAUUAAUAAAUUCACAAGUUCCAAGCAAAGAAUGUCUCCUUUCUCGAGUACCCCCCCCCCAGCCCAGCAUCACCAUAACUGACAUCCUGGUAGAAGUUCCUGGCCAGACACUUUAGCCCAGGUUUUUGCCUGUUGGAGCUUGGUCAGACAGAUGGGUGAGUCUUUUCUGCAUUUUUGAUUUUAAUAUAUGGGACAUGUUGUGCAAUGGAAAAUAGAAACGCAGUACAGAAAAAAGAGGAGCUAUAUUUUAUCUCAUCUGAGAAAGGUAAAUUUAAAUUCCAAGGGAUUUAUAAUAAUCUUUUCCCUAUUUCAAUUUAAGCCACUUUAAGUCUGCCAUUUGAUUCCUGUGAACAAUCUGUUGGUAGAGGUGGCUGAGAUUAGCUCACGUUAUUAAUGAUUUCACUGUGUGGCAGAACUUGGCUAUGAAUACAGUGUGCUUGCAUUUAUUCAUAUCCGGCAAUGCAUUUUGAAUGCAUGGGACAAUGGUCCUCAACACAGACGUCCGAUUCCUCAGCAGCCCUGGUUUUAGUUUUAUUAAUGGAAAGAACAGAUGUCAGAAAUUUAAGCCAUCAGGCUUCGGAUAUAUCUGGAAUGAAAUGUCCCAGUAAAUCAUUUCUGUGCUGUAGCCGUCUGGACAUCAGCCAAGAAGCAACUAGUUAAUGACCUCUGGAUUUAAACAGUGAAAUCUGUUACUGUGAUCGCUUCAGAUCAGAUUUAGCAAGAGCAUGCUUGCUUGAGUUCCAUGCUUCUGGAGGUUUAAUUAACAAACCUGAACAUGUAUACAUGUAGAAUAGUACUAGAAACAAAGACUGGGCAAGAAACAGUGUGUGUCUGGCUCUGGUAUAAUGCCCCACGGCUUUAACAAAAAAAAAAGUCAUUUGUAAAUCUUUCUGAAUAAUUUAAGCUCCAUGUAAAGAGAAUGCACUCUAGGCAGACACGAUUUAACAAACCCCAAGGGUUUCUUGUGGUUAUGAAGAAUUUUAAGAACUCGAUUUAACAAUGAGUGCAAGACCAGAGAUUUGUUUUCUGAUAAGAAUAAAAGUUAUUUUUUUAAUGAGAUACACUAUGUAAUGAAAUACACCACACACAGUAGCGUUCAGGACAUAACUUUGGUCUAAGUGCAAGGAAUAUUCCCAGCUGGCCAAUGACCUCUAAUAUAGAGUGAAGAUUAUAACCACGUCCCUUUAUGAAUAUUUUCUUUCGAGUCCUUUUCUGUUGGCUGCUUUCGGAACAGAGCCCAGUGCGGUGGUUAAAAUAAUUCUUUUCACAUAGUUUUUAGUCUUUUUCAGGCCGCUGAUCCUACCACAUUUAAUUAAUUAUGGCAGAAAGCCCAGCUAAGAUACAUAUUGCCAGGUUGGUAGUAAGCUAUGUAGUCUGUUGUUCAAGCUGUGUGCGUUGUAUUGUGCUUUUCAGUGCAGUUGCCAAGGCUGUGGUCUUUCCAUUACAAACUGACAGUUUCUUCAUGAUCCUAAUACUUCUUCCAGGAGCACAAAUUGGCACAAUUUCUAAUAUUGACCCUUUUUUAUCUUCUCCUUCUCUGCUUUUCUGCCCUGAGCAAAACAAAAAUUCCAUCUUCGCUCACAUUUGCUUGUUCACAGCCUGGGGGGGGGUAGUAACAGCAGCCUUCUCUGCCUCGUCAGGUGGCAUGGAAGGGACAGGCCAGAGGACAGAGCGCUGGUCAGCCCCCGGGAUCACCAAGGUAACAGUUGGCAUUGAGGCGCUGAACGGCCAUCUCAUUCAACACCCAGAAUGCCAAGCUGCGGCAUUACAGGUGUCAGCUGUCGAUAUGGUGCUGAAGUGCAGUUCGAACUACCAGUAGCCAGGCUACUUCCAAUAGCUCAGGCUGGGGAAUGAUAUCCAUCAGUUUAAAUCUAUCUCUAUCUGUGAGUGCUCCCUCGAUUGUGUGCUGGACAAACCUGCUCAAUAACCCACGGGGCCCUGGGCAACCAUGAGUGCCGCCUGCUGUGGCCCAGCUUGGCUUUCCAGUGUGUGCUGUCGCUAGGCACCAGUCACUACGACAACGGCAAGAGGAGCCCAGCAACGCCCACCAGCCUGCAAGCCAAAAUCUGCAACCUCAUCAGCAGCGCCACUGACACAGAAGGGGUGUACGUCUUCCUGGAUGACCUCCUUUUGACAGAUGUGUGUAUGUUUGCACUGGACAAGAUCUGAGCUGAUGCCCAGUGCUAUCUGGACAGAAACCGAGUCAAACUUGUGUGACUUUGUAGGGUGCUAUGAGCUGAGCACAUGGCCCUCUGCUGGGCAGGGGACUGGCUGGAGCAGAAAGUCCUCAGCUCCACCUUCACCUGGACUGGAGCAGAAAGCCCUCAGCUCCACCAUCACCUGGACUGGAGCAGAAAGCCCUCAGCUCCACCUUCACCUGGACUGGAGCAAAAAGCCCUAGAGCUCCACCAUCACCUGGACUUGAACAGAAAGUCCUCAGCUUCACCUUCACCUGGACUGGAGCAGAAAGCCCUGGAGCUCCACCAUCGCCUGGACUGGAGCAGAAAGUCCUCAGCUUCACCUUCACCUGUACUGGAGCAGAAAGCUCUGGAGCUCCACCAUCACCUGUACUGGAGCAGAAAGCCUGGGAUCUGACACUGACAGAUCUACAACAACCACAACAGGGCUAAAGGACAGAAAACAUCUUUCUUUAGAUUUACUGUCCAAAAUAUUAGGAGACCCAGAACGGAUUGAGGGAUGGCCCUCUCAGAACUCAAAGAAUGGCUUGAAGGGGGCGUGGCGGGUGGUCCUCAAGGUUAGGAAAUAUUUGCAUCCCAAUUGCACCCCACCUUUGGGGCAGGAAAGUCCUUGGUAGAGAUUGUGAUGAAGUCCAUGGCACUGCACUGCCCACUCUGCUAGCUUUGGUGGUGGUCAAAAGGAAUGACAUCGGGGCGUUGUCAUGAUUAAGAAAGGUGAAAGAAAUUACCUGCCACUGGUUUCUUGAAUUGAUUUGGGGUUCCUGACAGUUUAGCCAAUGUGUAUGUGUCACAGAGACAUUGAUAAGGAAUUAAAAGGCUGCCAAGGGAGCAGCAGCUGCACAACAAGUGCCUUCCUUUUUCUUAACCUUCUUUAAAUCAGGUGGAACGACGGAGAUGUGAACUGCAGAUUGGAAAUUUGUUUCCAAACCAGAAACAUUUGCUUACCUAUUUUUUUAUGCCGAUACUUUUAUCCAAAGCAACUUACAUUUACUACCAUUUACAGAACAGAGUGUUUAGCUGGAAAAAUUUGGGAACGGCGCCUUGCUCGGGGGUACAACAGCAGUGUCGCCCCACAGCCUUCCAGUAACAAGUGCAGAACCCUGACCACUGCCCCCACUGCUGCUUUAACACAAAGGAAGGUGGUGAAGAGAGAGGGAAAGGGAUUUGAUGAUGAUAUUAUAUGUGUAUAAUAUUCUUAACAUGCCACACAAUACCAUACUGAAAUGGGCAAUUUUAAUAACGAGAAAUUUCCCUUGCUGAACCCGGGAGGUUAGGCAGACAUGUGAAAAUAUAUUCCAAUGGUGCCUUACACAUUGUUGCUCUCUGUAUGCUGUGUUCGGCAGUUAAAUACAUAAGGUAACACAUGAGAAGAUGCUGUCUGGGUCAUCUUGCUUGUUCAGUGGAUUGAUUCUAGGAUCUUAUCAAGCAAUUUUUCAAAGUAUCCUGUGUUUUCAUCUUUAACACUGCAGGAUAAUCAGGAACUUGGCUAGGUAUGGGGUUUGACUACAACUAUAGGACAUCGCUAUCUCUCUUUGUAAAUCUGUACUUUCCCAACCUGCUAAAUUCUUGACAAUGUUGCUUUGCAUAUUUAUUUCUGAGUUCCUUUGGAUGCUGCGGCAUUGCAGAAUAGCUGUAGACAAAUACGAUGACGGUCACCUGCUGUCACGCUGUCUGACGAACACGGUCAGGAACACAGCGACAGCGACUGCCGUCCAUGGCAGGAGAUAGGAAUGAGUGAGCCCAGAUCCUGGAGGAGAAGAAAUGAUGUUGUGCCACUGACAGCAGCUCAGCAGGGGAGGUGUCUGGAAAUCCAAGUAUGGAAGAGAAAAUAAAGUUUUUCCUUUAGAUUAUCCAUCAUUUAUUCUUAUAUUACAUAUUUUUAUUG